Molecule: long non-coding RNA, 1852 nt
Filed under: Vigna radiata
Lineage: Eukaryota; Viridiplantae; Streptophyta; Magnoliopsida; Fabales; Fabaceae
Description: long non-coding RNA (VRAD_LNC004453)
Source: RNAcentral
UUGAGUCUCUUUUAUUAUAAAUUUGAUUUUGUCAUCAAAUUCACCAAACGACCCUUAACGUUGCAUAGUCAUAGUGUACAUUAAUCCAGGACAAAGUAAGAAUAAUUAAAUCACCCUUUUUUGUUCUUGGAAUGCCAUCUUUAGUCUUCUCCGAUGACCAAAUCACACUUCCAUGGCAACCACUAGCAGGAACCCAAUCACGAGUUUGCCCAACAUUUUCAACACUACAAAAAUUCCCAAAUCAAAAACCAGGAAAACCAUAAUCAGAAAACUAAUGAUUUUUAUCUGAAGAUGGCUGUUGAGAUGAUACAAAGUAAGCCCUAUUAUCGUUUUGGGUGUUGUCUCUGCAGAAAAAAAAAACUAGCACAUCUUCACUCCCCAAUUAAUGAACAUGUCUUGUUUUCUGUAGCUGGUUUUUUUUGGGGAUUCUUGGCUUGAUUUCGAGAAAAAGGUCCAAUCUUUUGCUUUUGAAGAGUUAGAUUUUGUGUAGAUUUUCAGCGAAGAAGUUGCUUAUAUUCCUCACCGGUGAGUCUCUUAAAGGGUUUUGGCUUUUGUUUUCACUGAAAAUCUAGAGUGAUAGCUGGGGUUUCAGAAGAUGUGUUGGAAGAUUGGGUAAACAUGGGUUUGUGUGAUUUUAGUGUUUGCAUUUUAUAAAAAGUACUUGAAAAUGCUUGCGAAGUAGAAUUGAAUGUGAAGUUGGUUCAUUCGUUUUGAUCUGUUUUUAUUGUUUGUGAGAAUUGAGAAGCAAUGGAAGGGAAUUUGUCUCGGGAGGUAUGGUUCAAGGUGGGAGUUCCUUUGGUGGUUUUGAUCUGCCUAAAUCAAUGAGGGUUCAUCGGCAAGGGCAUCAUCCUCAUUCCAUGAAUCAACAUCAAACUCAUCCUUCGUCGGUGGUGAUCCUGGUUCGUGCCGGCGAGUUGCAGGGAGAGACGAGAUUCCUCUCUCGCGCGAAAAGGAGGACGAAGUUUGGGAUGCUCCAUCCGGCGUGGGUGGCGUCGUCGGCGACACUCUUGGCCAGCGAAGGAAGGUGCGACGGAGGGUAGGGACGACUGACGUUGGAGGUUGAAGGAAGAGGCUUUUUUCUCUUUUAGGAUUUUAGGGUUCUGAUGAAGAAGAAAAGAAGUUUGUCCUUUUUGCCCUCUGAUUUAACCUUUGCUCAAUCUAUUUUUUAAUACAAAAAUUAAUUCAAAAUGUCACGUCAGAUUAAUGAAUACGGUAACCAUAGAACUAAUGUAAAUGAUCAUUUAUUGAAUUUAAUGGCAAAUCCCUAAUUACUUCAAUUUUACAUAAAAAAAAGAUCCAAUUGAUACGUCAAAAAGAAAAAGUACUUAUUUAAGAUUUCGGAACUUCUGAUGAGAUUAAACCUUUUUUAAAUCAUAGUUUAUUAGAUUUAUUUAUCGCACAUGGGCCGGAUUGGUAAUUGAAUUCCUCAGACCAAGAGGCUUGGACUAUGAGUUCGCUUAGCAAACGAGGUGAGUAUUCGCUACUCUUUCAGAACUUCAGUUGUCCGCCUCGUCGAAAGGGAUGCAGGAGAGGGUCAAGAUUGAGUCUCAAACUGAGAGAUGUGGAGUCCUGGAAACAGGAUGGACGUGCUUGAUCUUAGCAGUUCCCACAUGGGUCCCAUGGCGGAGGGCCUGACGAACUUGCUUCUUAGUUGCUUUCCCACUCCGCUUGCUAUUAAGUCAAGAUAGCGAGGAAAGAGAGAAAGUCAGUCUUAUUAUCGUUCGUGAUCCUGAUAUAUCAUUUCAUUGCAUUUUGUUCCUUUUCAUCGAGUAUCAUCAAUUAAUCUAGGAAAAACCGGAUGGGCCAGGUCCACUAUUCACUUUGGGUUGGAUUUGGGAGGUUUCUACUUCCU